Molecule: long non-coding RNA, 330 nt
Filed under: Ricinus communis (castor bean)
Lineage: Eukaryota; Viridiplantae; Streptophyta; Magnoliopsida; Malpighiales; Euphorbiaceae
Description: long non-coding RNA (RCOM_LNC000670)
Source: RNAcentral
AGAUGAAGGAGGUGGUGGAGGAGGUGGCUGCAUUGGUUGUUGCAAUGGUUGAUGACCAUGCAGAGGAGGAUACUGUGAUGAAGGGUAGUAUCCUCCUGAUGCUGGUGGAGGUGGAGGUGGAGGUGGAUAUGAUGAGUCUGGUGGUGGUGGUGGAGGUGGUUGUUGAUAUGGAUAUUGUUGGUGAGGUGGCGGUGGUGGUGGUGGAGGAUAAUGUUGUGAGAAUUUUUGCUGGUUAGGAAUUUGCAUUUGAUUGUAUUGAUUAGGUCUUUGCUGCUGCUGCUGCUGUUGUGGUGGUGGUGGUGGUGGUGGUGGUGGUAGUGUGGAUUGUGA